This 88-nucleotide transfer RNA is filed under the name Clostridia bacterium. RNAcentral describes it as "tRNA-OTHER". It matches the Rfam family "tRNA". From Rfam's summary of the family: Transfer RNA (tRNA) molecules are approximately 80 nucleotides in length. Their secondary structure includes four short double-helical elements and three loops (D, anti-codon, and T loops). The record is from RNAcentral. Lineage: Bacteria; Bacillati; Bacillota; Clostridia.
GCCGUCGUAAUUCGUUAAGGAGGCGAGACAGACUGUAAAUCUGUUACCAGGGUGGUUCGAGUGGGUUCGAUUCCCUCGGGCGGCACCA